CUGGGGACAGAAGAGGUUAACUGACCCCUGGCUGGUACCUUCCGGGCUUCAGGACAACCCGGCCAGGUGGUCACUGUGGGCCCACUCUUCAGGUGAGGAAACAGGCCAGAGAGGGGGAUGCCACUGGCCCUGGCUCUUGGGAGUGGGAGGUCUGGGUCUCCAGGGUUUCUCCAAGCCCACCAACUUGCUGGGUGGCUUUGGGAAAGUCCUCUGGCCUCUCUGGGCCUCCGUCUCACACCUGUACAGUGGGCGUGGGAAGGCAUCACUGCUGGGGCUGAGCAUGGGACUACAGGACAGAGCUUGGGGCCCGGCUCCAGCAGGCUGGUCUCCAGCCCCCGGGAGCAGGGACCCACCCCACCCAGCACAGGCGCCUAAAGGCUGCUGUCUCCACCAGCAGGUGACCCUGUACCCAUGGGUGGGGGUCCACAGGGCCAACUCAGUCCAGCACCAGCCAGCUAGGGACAAACCCUCUUGAGGCUUUUGGGCUGUGGCCAGAAGAGGCGAGGCUGCCUUUGAGAGGCUGCCUUUCCGCUUUCUGCUGUGUGCGUGUGUGAGCACAUCUGUGUGUGCCAGGGGCCUGGGCUCAGUGUGACCCCUGGUAGGGAUGCCCCAGCUAUCAACACCCUCUCCCUCCUGUGGCCCCCACUGGCCCCAGAUGGAGGCCGAGUCCCCCAGCCCAGAGUGCCCUGGGGGUCGGGAAUGCCCACUGCUUUGAGCCACAGAGACCCAGGCUCCAACCUCCUCAGAACCCCCAGGCCUCCUGGGCCACCAGGAUGAAACUCCCACCUCCUGGCAAGGUGGAAACCCAUUUGGCAACUGAGGCCUGGUGCCUGAGGCCAUUAGGGCAGGUCAGAAGGGGCAAAGGCCACAACUGGGCCGAGAGGAGGGUGCCGCCCACUCUGCUCAGGCAGUGGGCUGGGUGCCAGCAGCACCACGUUCCCAUGCUUUAUGGUGCCAAUCUUGGCACCCCAGCCCUGCCCCACCCUUGCCUUGCGGGGACUAGGGCACUGGGAAUGUGGCUGUGGAUUCUGUCCCCUGGGGCCACGGAUUCCUGUCUCAGUGGGCGGGGGUGGAGGACGGCUUUCAACCCUUUGAUCCUUGCCAGCUCCAGGGAGCCAGGCCACACCCAGGCCCUGCCAGCCAGGCCACAGGGGAGGCCAGGAGGCAGGCCCAGGUGAGACAGAGCUGACCCCCUCAGCACAGGAACCCCAGCUCCCAGGGCCUGGGCCUGCUCCCCAGGUGCCCCAGAAGCUCCUGCCUAGCCUCUUACCAGCUGGGCACAGGGCCUGCUGCCCAGACUAAUCAGGCAGAGAAGACCAGCACUGGGCAAUGGCCCAGUCCUCACCUUCAACCUGUGAUGGCCACAGCAGCCCCUUCCCUCACCUCCCCAAUCUGCCCCAGGGCACAGAGUCCCAGCUCCUCUCUGCCAGCCUGGCCUCACAUGCUCACCCUCCUGCCCUAGCACCCCCCAUUCGGCAGCCACAACUGCCCCCCCCAGAGACUCCUGGGUGCCUGGUGUUGUUCAGGACACUGGCCUGCUCAGCAUCAAGACAGACCCCAGAAUGCCCUGGGCUUCUGACCGCAAAGGAGCCAGCACAGGCUGCAGCCUGGCACGCGGCUCAGAACCCUCAACCCUAUAACGUGCUUGUUUCCUGCUCCCCCAGCCUCUGGAGCCGGCUGACAGCUACCCACUCAGUACACCUUCAUGCGUCCCCGACCCCUGUUCAAGCACCACUGAGCACCCCAACCAGUGGACAAGGCGACAAGGGGUCCCACAGGAAACAGGGCCACCCUCUGAGCCUGGGGGGAGGGGAGAGUAGCCUCAAAAUCCCACGUGGGAGGGGCCCAGGGCCAGGUGUCCAGAUAGGGGGGCCCACGGAAGGGUCUCGCCCGGGCACCUGAGAGGUAGGAGGACAGUUCCACUCUGCCAGCCUUCCUGAUCUGCUAAGUGGAAAUUACAGUCAUUAGCGUCCCCUCCCAGAGGCCCGUGGUGCCCGGUGGGCCUGGGACUGGCUCCACCCCCUCUGCCACAUAUGGGCUUAGGGAGAAAGCGCUAAAGGUGGGCGCCGGCUGCAGGGCGGCCCAGCCUUUGCCGGGCAGAGCCACAGAGCCACGGAGCCACUGGGCUUGUGGGGAUCCAUGGGACCCAGCCCUGUUCUACUGCCCACUUGACCCGGUGGGCACCCUCCUUCCUGCUGUUGUCCACACCAAGGGUGGCCUACAGAGCGAAGUGAGGACCUUGGGACUUCCUCCAGGACGUCCUUUGCUGUCCAAAUCUCCCCCUGCUGCAGAGCUGCCGCCAGUCAAGCCCUUGUUUCUGGCUUUCCGUGCCCUAAAUAAACUUCCGCCGGGUUUGAGCCAUCA
Non-coding RNA from Chlorocebus sabaeus (green monkey), 2364 nucleotides. Lineage: Eukaryota; Metazoa; Chordata; Mammalia; Primates; Cercopithecidae. The record is from RefSeq and is a predicted model, not a curated record.